This 2384-nucleotide long non-coding RNA is filed under the name Homo sapiens (human). Its description in RNAcentral is "HSALNT0151386". The record is from RNAcentral. Lineage: Eukaryota; Metazoa; Chordata; Mammalia; Primates; Hominidae.
ACUAGAGCUUUUUAUUAACUCAAGUGGGAGUAAGACCUGGCACUGAAUUGGUCUGGUAACUUCUUUCUUGCAGCAGACAUUUAUUGAGCUGCUACUAUAUGCCACUGACUAGGGCUGUAGGAGAGGCAAAGAUAAAUAUGGGAUCAUACCUACAGGGAGCUUGCUUGUAAAAUAGUUGGGGACAAAUGCAACUUUUGCAACCUACCUUUGAAGACCCCAUCAGCUUAAGGUUCCACUCUUGGAGUAAAUGGAGAAAUUUAUAACUGCGCGAUAACACCGCCCUGACCUUCUCUACUCAGCGUGAGAAUUAAUUACCUGAGGCCAGUCCUAUGGAACAUUGUGAAGGCACGAUUCAAAGACGCCAGCCAACCAUCUGGCACUUGAAAGAGGCUAAGAAAGCCAGUUCCAUGGACUCUCCCCAUCAUGGCAUCGGCGGUGAGGAAGAACACUCCUAAAAGAGUGGGGGCCUGUACUGGCAGCCUAGGGCUUAUCUGCAGGAUGGAAAAGCUUCCAGGACAUAAGCCCAUCACAGGGCUUACCCAGCUGCCUUUGAGAAAUGUUUGGGGUCACAUUGGCUAAAAUUAAGUACUUUGUGGUGAACUGGAUUUGACUGGAACUAAAGGAUCGACUUCCAAGCUCACUCCUGUGGCUGUCGGCAGGAGGCUUCAGUUCCUUACCACAUAGACCUUUCCACAGCAUGAGGGCUCCAGUGUCUGCAGAUUUGACUGGAACUAGAGGAUCAACUUCCAAGCUGGAACUAGAGGAUCAACUUCCAAGCUCACUCCUAUGGGUGCUGGCAGGACGCUUCAGUUCCUCACCACAUAGACCUUUUCACAGCAUGGCUUCCUCUAAAUUCUCCUGGCCAACUCUUCAAUAGCACAGGUCCAAGACCGCCAUGACAUAGGAAUGGAUGAACAGUUGAUAUGGAUCAUGCGUGGGGGAUAGAAGGUGAACGUCGGUGAACAGGCUCGGUCAUCCCCUUCCCUGAGGUGCUUGCUUCCUUCCACUCAUGCCUUUGUGUGAUCUCGCCCCUUAAGUAUGGGCAGGGCUUCUGACUUGCUUCUGACCAACGGAACGUGGCAAAGUCAAUGGGAGGCCACUCUGUGAUGACGCUGGGUUAAAAAAGACCCUGUGUCACUAGCAGAUGUGUUCUGCUCUCUCUUCAUUUGUUGGCUUCGAAGAAGCAAACUGCCAUGGACUCAGCUGAAAGGAGUCAAAUGCCUCCAACAAUCACAUAAGCAGGGAAGUGGACACUUCCCUGGUGGAGCCUCUGGUGAGAACCCAGCCCUGGCUGACGCAUUAAUUGCAGCCUGUGAGACCUUUAGCAGAAGCCCUCCUGAUCCACAGAAACUGUGAGAUAAUAAGCCACUAAGUUUGUUGUAAUUUGUUAUGGGGCAUAGAUAACUAGUACACGCAGUCCUACUGAGAUUUUCUCUCUCCCUCUUUUUUUUUUUCUAUGAAUAAACUCCUUUCUAUUUUUGAGCUUUCCUUUCCAAGUCACACAUUUUAUUUCAAAUAAUUGAUAGUUGUAAUAAUCAGCUUGCUGCUUGAAAAUACCCGCAAGCCUCGGGGUAUAUUGUCUUAGUCUGUUUUCUGUUGCUAUAACUAAAUAACUAAAAGUAGGUAACUUAUAAAGGAAAGAAGGUUAUUUCUUACAGUUCUAGAGACUGAGGCUGGGAAGUCCAAAGCUGAGAGGUCACAUUUGGUGAGGGCUUCUUGCUGGUGAGGACCCUCUGUAGAGUACUGAGGUGGUUCAGGGUAUCACAUAGACAGAGGGGCUCACUGAGAGCCAGACUGGCUUUUAUAACAGACCCACUCUUGUGAUAACUUGCCUACUCCUAUGAUAACUCAUUAAUUCAUUAAUCCAUGAAUGGAUGAAUCCAUACAUGAAGGCAGGAUGGAUUAAUGUGCCUUCAUGUCCCAGUUACCUCUGAAAGGCCCCACCUCUUGAUACUGUUAUAUUGGGUAUUAAGUUUCAACAUGAAUUUGGGAGGGGACAAAUAUUCAAACCAUAGCACACACCAUAGAAACUUCUUGCUCAUGCAUCUAUAGGUCAGCCAGGAUUGGUUAAUCUAGGCCGGCUAUUGCACUUGGCUGCAAGCUCCAUGCUGAAUGGGCAUCUGCUCCAUGAGUGUCUCAUCCUCCUUGGACCAGGGGACAAGUGAGGCAUGUUCUUCUCACAAUGUGCAACAUGCCAAGUCCAACUGUGAGGCAUAUUUCAAUUCUUGCUUGGGUGAGGAGUGUUGACAUACCAUCGCUCAAAGCAAGUCACAUGGCCAAGCUCAAAGUCAAGGGACAGGAAAGUAUACUCCCUAGACUCCAAGGCCAUGGUAUGGAGCAGGUGGACUGGGGGAAGUACUGGGAGCAGUAAGUCAAUCUCCCAG